Molecule: long non-coding RNA, 268 nt
Filed under: Cyanistes caeruleus (blue tit)
Lineage: Eukaryota; Metazoa; Chordata; Aves; Passeriformes; Paridae
Description: lncRNA (ENSCCEG00000014700.1)
Source: RNAcentral
GCUCUUGACUCUCCCAAAGGCUUGUGGCAGAGCUGCACUGUGAUGUAGCAGGUGGGUGAGGGGCAGUGUGGGUGUGCUGAGUGCUGCCAGGUGGGAAAGGACCUACUGUGCCUAUUCCCUCACACAGGAACUUCACUGACCAUCUUUGUCCCACCUCACAGAGAGGUCCUGGGGUGAGGAGGCUGCUGAGAAUCUGGGGUGCCUUCCUGAAGCCUGAAUAUCCCUGAAGGACAGGAGGAAGGAGGCAAAAAGGAGACACCGCGCUUGC